GCCGCAGUGGCGGAAUAGGAAGACGCGCUACGUUCAGGGCGUAGUGGGCAUUAGCUCGUGGGGGUUCAAAUCCCUCCUGCGGCA
This 84-nucleotide transfer RNA is filed under the name Caldilineaceae bacterium SB0661_bin_32. RNAcentral describes it as "tRNA-Leu". It matches the Rfam family "tRNA". Rfam says of the family: Transfer RNA (tRNA) molecules are approximately 80 nucleotides in length. Their secondary structure includes four short double-helical elements and three loops (D, anti-codon, and T loops). Further hydrogen bonds mediate the characteristic L-shaped molecular structure. tRNAs have two regions of fundamental functional importance: the anti-codon, which is responsible for specific mRNA codon recognition, and the 3' end, to which the tRNAs corresponding amino acid is attached (by aminoacyl-tRNA synthetases). tRNAs cope with the degeneracy of the genetic code in two manners: having more than one tRNA (with a specific anti-codon) for a particular amino acid; and 'wobble' base-pairing, i.e. permitting non-standard base-pairing at the 3rd anti-codon position. RNAcentral also lists the same sequence under 7 other names. Lineage: Bacteria; Bacillati; Chloroflexota; Caldilineae; Caldilineales; Caldilineaceae. The record is from RNAcentral.